Molecule: long non-coding RNA, 5535 nt
Organism: Malurus melanocephalus (red-backed fairy wren)
Lineage: Eukaryota; Metazoa; Chordata; Aves; Passeriformes; Maluridae
Exons: 3
Source: RefSeq, a predicted model, not a curated record
GCGCGGCUGAGGAGCGUURGGAGCUGCUGCGGCUCCGGAAGGAAUACUGUCGCUAGGCCGCGAAUAAACCGCGUGUAGCGUUUAGGGUCUGCUCAGAUCGUUCCUUAAGCUAAGCGUGUUUUGUCUCUGUCGUGCUAAAGAAUUUCGGACUGUAGGUUGAAUGGCGUUGGGGGUUGACUUGGCAUCUUUUUGCACCUCUGUGGGUGGGUGAGGCGYCCACCGUUAUCCUGGGCAGUUUGGGGAGGUGGUGUUAGGCCACAUUCUAAAUGKGCUCUUGGAAACUUGUCAGCUGACUGUCGUGACUUGUGCCAUAUAUAGAAUUGUCCAGGGGAAAUCACACAUAGAAUCACAAAACGAAUUAGGCUGGAAAAGGCCUGUGAGGUCAUCGAGUCCAACCUUUGACUGAACACCACAAUGCCAAUUACACCAUGGCACAAAGGGCUGCCUCUAGUCCUUCCUUAAGCACCAAAGCAAUCCUGUGGAGCUUGGAAAACCCUGUUUCAUUAGCUAGCUUCUCUGGUCCUAAAAAAAAGAUUAAUCCCUUUGAGAGAAAACAUUUUCCUAUCAAUUAGAAUUCUAUGAGGCUUUUUAUUACCAACUAAUUAAACAUGUUUCAGAUUCUCACAAAGUAAUAGAAUAAAAUAGAAUGUGUUUCAUUCCUACUAAACUAAUGUACAAGUAUUUACACUUAUACUAAACACUAAACAUUAAUGCAAGUGUAAGGCAGAAGCCAGAUCUUGGAUUUGCAGAAGACUUGGAGAUAACUGCUUUUUUAUUUUUAAUGUAGUUUUUCUUAAUGUUUGUUUGUUCUUUACACAGUUUAAACAUAAAGAGCAAGAGUAGUCUGUAAUUUGCAUUGUUUUGUUGUCUCGUGUUUUAUUUUGUAUGAUGUUUUACUUUUCUUUGACCAGCAUUUGCCAUUACAGGUUUAAAUAGAGCCGUAGGGGGGAGUACUUGUGGAAUUUUGCUGUCAAGUGUGAAGAUUCCACUUGCACUCAGCAGCUGCUGCGGUUUCCCUGCCUCUUGUASAUGACCAAACCCACGGCAGAACUGGCAUCUCCCCGUCUGUUCUGGGGCAAAGUGUGACAUCUUUGUUCAGCCCCCACCCUGCCGUGGCUUUAAAAUGAGGAUGUUCUGUCUACUGUUUCUGGUCUCGCCUUUCCUUACAUGGUUCUGUUCUUCAGCAUGUCUCCUGGACAAUGGCAAGGGAGAGCCCAGAGCACAGUAAGGCACUUCUCCUUUACCCAAUUUAAGGAAUUAAAUUUGCAAGUUUUGUUCAGCACAAAAGGGGGACUUCUUGGCAAUUCUGUCUCUUAAUAAAGUGUGACUUCAGAGUUUUCCAACACUAAAUAAACUUAAGGCAGCGAAAAUGCACUCUCAGCCUUAUAUGGAUAUCCAAUAGAGUUCAAAUUAUUGUUCAAAAGAACUGUAGCUUUCUAAGUAAACUUAUWUAGUAUUCGUUCUUUCAGCAAAAUAAUAUAUUCUUGGGUUUUGUCCUCAUAGAUUACGCUCCUUUGGCUUUGACCUGAAACAACGAUGUAACUGUUAGUAGAAGUUUUGCUGUCUCCCCACUGCGGCCCUCAAAGCAGUAAAUGGGACUUCAGAUAAAAGCUGUGUCGCAGUAGGAGGUUUGCAUCUUUCCCCUUGGACUUUGUGUCAGUCUGCAAGGAAAGAAAUUUAGUGAGCAGAGGAAGAAGAGUGCUGGGCUGGAAGUGAGCAGGAGCUCUCCUACCAACCAAGAUAACCACAAAGCCAAAGGACCCAUCUGGUGGUGGUCCUUGGCCUCUCAACUCAACAGCUGGGGCUGUUCUCCCAGCUGAGAGUGACUCUGCUUGCCCUGGAGCAAGGGAGUCAAACCUGUUCAGUCAUCUGCAACCCCAAGGAGGAGGUAACAAAAUGCAAGGUAAAGCAAAAAUUAACAAACAAUGUAACAAUACACAAGUUGCCCACCUUUCCUAGGAAAGAUGACAACUCACUGYCUUUGACUGGGGAGCUGAAGCAAUUGGACUCUUCCUUUGAAGCAUGUGUUGAACUGGGACUGCUUGAGUCUCAGCCAUCGUUGCAGAGGAGCAGAGCAGAAGCACUGGCUGCUGGAGUCUGUGGCACAUGCUGCCUGCUUGUGGGUGGCUUAGAGRCAUGUGAGUGUUUUGGUGCUUUUUUGCUUUUAGAAAUGUUCAUCCUGCUCUGAGCAUCCAUUCCUCAGUGUCCAUCCCUACCUUGCAUGCACCUGCCCAGCUUACGGGCGUUGUAUUGAGAAAUCCCAAAUGCGUAGCUGUUCAUGCGAGCUUGCAUGAGCCAUUGAUGGCUGGUGAUUCUUMACUACAGUAGAAUGAGCACAGUGAAACCCAAAGAGAUAGGAAAAUGAAAUAGAAACAGCUACUAAAAAUGUAAUUGCAAAAGCAAUCCAAAGGAAUACAUAAAUGUAGAAAAAACCCACAUCUUUUCAUACACUGCAAGCUGCCAGUUUUUGAAAGCAUCAGGAAACAAGCUGUUGAGCAGUGGAAUGGAUAAAACCAGGCUCCCAACCUCUGCUGAGCUGCCUGGCCUGUGAAAUCUCACUGCCAGUGCUGCUGCUGCUGGGCCAGAGGCAGGCGGUGGUGUGACCACCCUAGUUGUGCCCACAUGCUGAGGGGUGGCUGGAGCAUGUGCCACCAGACCAAGCUCUUACCAGGUGAGCUCAGCCUCCCUCCAAUGGACCGUUCUUCUCUGCCCAGCUAUCAAUUUUCAGUCAAUUUAUUAGAACUCCACUGUAUCUGAGGCAUCUUGACCAAAUUUGACCAAGGUUAUCUAGGGAUAUCAGGGAAAAAAUCAUUCAGUCAGGCCUUGGGAUUAUACAAGUCUCUUGCCUUUAUAAAAUGCAGACUGAAUUUAAAUCCAGAGCUCAGAAAAGUAGCUCUUGCAGGGUGCCAGAGACUGAGACAAGUGAUGUGCAUUGUGCCCUCAGGCACCCAGAACUUUUGCUAAAUGUGACACUGAGCUGGGCAUGCAGCACCAGGGGCAAUAUCCAGCCAGCACAGAGACAGCCAACCCGGUGCAGAUCUUCACCUGGUGAGAAUCUGCUGCUGCCAUCUUCAGUCUGGGUUGUGCCUACUGUGAGGUGUGAGGGCCUCCAACAGGUCAGAUGCCCCAGUGCUGAGAGCAGGGAUGCUCAGGGGCUUCAGUGGUCUGGAGUGUGAAAGUCUUCGUGAGCAUGCACUUGCAUUUGGAUAGAUAGAAAUGCAAAGUCAGACAACAGGGCUUUGAUAGUCACAAGGAUCUGACUUACGCAUGGAUAUAGACUGGUUUCCUCUAGUUGGUUAGGGUUUUUUUUCCAGGUAUUUUUCUCUGUAAGAACAAGUCUGUUUCAUCCAGCUGCACCUUUCAGCUCUGCUGCUGAUGUUUUUGUGUUCUCUGCCUGUGGUACAUGCUGCAUGGGCAUGAAUAAGCAGGUAUCAGCACAGCACAUGGGCAAACUCACAAGGGAUCUGCAGAAAACAGUGAGCACAGUGAUCCAAAAUCAUCUUCCAUAUCAUGUUGGCAAAGAGCAAAGCCCAAGGGCAUUGAUGCCAGCUAGCAUAGCUGAGCAGGGAGGGAUGGGGGAGUUSUAACUCCUCCAUGUCUUGUCUGACAUCACUUGCCCUGUGGGGCUCAUGCUGUUGAGCAGUCCCUGUGCUCCCUAGUGUUGCAGCCAACUUCACAUGGCAGCAGCACAGCUUCCCUGGUGAGAAAAGGAGGUUAACAACAGCCUCUGCUUCCUGCAAUAGUGCCACUGCAGCCAGGUUACUGGUUUCAAAAACAGUUUGUCACUGGUUCAGCUGUUUUGCAUAAGACCUGGCUGGGCAGCUCAGACUAAACAGCUUCAAUUUCUUCCCCAGGGCACAGCCAAGAUGUUGCCAGAUUAUUAUCCARUGACUUGCCAAACCCAAGUUGAAGUCAUUAAAUUGCAAGCCUGGGUGGACAACAAGCUGUCCAUGAGUCAGUAGUGCCCUUGUGGCCAAGAUAGCCACAGUUGUCCUGGAGUGCAUUAGGAUAGGGCACCAGGAGGUCAAGGGAGGUGAUCCUGUCCUUUGCUCAGCCCUAGUGAGGCCUCACCUGGAGUGCUGUGUCCAGUUCUGAGCUUUCCAGUUCAAGAAAGACCAGGACAUACUGGAGAGGGUCCAACAGAGGGUAAUGGAGGUGAUUCACAGAAUCUCAGGGUUGGUUAGGGUUGGAAGUAGCCUCUGGAGAUGAUCUAGUCCAAUUGAUUAGGGGUUUGGAGCACCUCAGUUAUGAGGAAAGGCUGAAGGAUCUUCCCCUGUUUAGCCUGGAGAGGCGAAAACUGAAUGGGCACCUCAUCAUUGUGUACAAGUAUCUGAAGGGAGGGUGUCAACAGGAUGGAGUCAGACUCUUCCUGUCGGUUCCAAGCGAUAGGACAAGGGCAGAAACUGAUGCACAGAAAGUUCCACCUGAACAUGAGGGAGAACUUUACUGUGAGGCUGACAGAGCACUGGAGCAGGCUGUUCAGAGAGGCUGUGGAGUCUCCUMCAGGAAUGAUUCAAAAGCCACCUGGACACAAUCCUGAGUAAUGUGCUCUGGCGACCCAGCUCAUGCAGGGAGGUGGAACUAGAUGAUCUCCGGUGGUUCCUUCCAAUCUUACCCAUUCCGUGAUUCUGUGAAGGAUUCACAGCUACCCUUGGGCUACAGGAAUACGGAACUGAAAAUGAAUGUUGCUGGCUUCCCAUGGCUCUUGAUUCUYACUUUGAGUAAUUCUUUCAUUUUGAGAGUGGAAACAAUCCUGUAUUCCGGUCCAGAAGGAUCAACCCCAGGAAGGCAUGAGUGUCCCAAAACAGAUCACUCCAUAGGAAAUUCUGCUGCUAUAUAGCUUUGGCUUACCUGAUUUUCUGUAUAAGUUCAUAUGCUUGCCCCACCUUCACUUCUUUAUCCUGGAUGAAACCUUAUGCCAGCAUUGCCAAAUGGUGGCUGUUUAAGAUUGGAGCACCAAAAUGAAAGGCUUUCUUUUCUGCAUUUUAUUCCCAUGGAGAGGUAUUUGCCUAGAGGAUUUACUUGAUGUCCAGCUACCUGUACCUGGCACUCAUCUCAGCUCUUCAGUUUUCCUGCCUUUCCCCUUUUCAUCUUUGUUCUUAUUGCUGGGUCCACAUAACAGCCAGCAUUUUUUAUAGCCAGGAUGUUCCAGUAAUUCCCACUGCCAGGGAGCAAGCAGGGGCCCUGACAUGUAUUGUUUGGCUUCUCAGAAAGCAGGGUUGUGUGGGGAGAACCUGCAGCAGGCAGCAAUACACAACCAGUUGUGCAACUCCCUUCCCUGAAGGAAAGACUUUGCCGUUACCUACACAGAGCAAGUCUGAGCAGCCAGUGCUCCUUCCCCUCUGCUGUCCCCUGGCUGUGCCAUGGGGCAAGAAAACAGGGAAGGAGAUGUCCUGGAAAUGCUGAGUCCUGGCUAAGACAACAGCCUGCUAGCACGUUGUGCAGGCAGGGCACAGUUUUGAGCCAUCUCCAACACCUCUGAGCAAUUUGCAGGAAGUAAUAGAUGCCAGCCAAAGGGCCAUGGGGAGAACUGAA